UAUAUUUUAAUGUAAUAGCAUAAAAAUUUUUGAUAUUUUAAGAGAUAAAAUAAUUAUCAAAUAUAA
This 66-nucleotide transfer RNA is filed under the name Parapolybia flava. RNAcentral's name for it is "tRNA-Gln". The record is from RNAcentral. Lineage: Eukaryota; Metazoa; Arthropoda; Insecta; Hymenoptera; Vespidae.